UUCAAGUGAGUGGCGAACGGGUGAGUAACACGUGGACACCUGCCUCAAGGCUGGGGAUAACAUUUGGAAACAGAUGCUAAUGCCGAAUAAAACUUAGUGUCGCAUGACACAAAGUUAAAAGGCGCUUCGGCGUCACCUAGAGAUGGAUCCGCGGUGCAUUAGUUAGUUGGUGGGGUAAAGGCCUACCAAGACAAUGAUGCAUAGCCGAGUUGAGAGACUGAUCGGCCACAUUGGGACUGAGACACGGCCCAAACUCCUACGGGAGGCUGCAGUAGGGAAUCUUCCACAAUGGGCGAAAGCCUGAUGGAGCAACGCCGCGUGUGUGAUGAAGGCUUUCGGGUCGUAAAGCACUGUUGUAUGGGAAGAACAGCUAGAAUAGGAAAUGAUUUUAGUUUGACGGUACCAUACCAGAAAGGGACGGCUAAAUACGUGCCAGCAGCCGCGGUAAUACGUAUGUCCCGAGCGUUAUCCGGAUUUAUUGGGCGUAAAGCGAGCGCAGACGGUUUAUUAAGUCUGAUGUGAAAGCCCGGAGCUCAACUCCGGAAUGGCAUUGGAAACUGGUUAACUUGAGUGCAGUAGAGGUAAGUGGAACUCCAUGUGUAGCGGUGGAAUGCGUAGAUAUAUGGAAGAACACCAGUGGCGAAGGCGGCUUACUGGACUGCAACUGACGUUGAGGCUCGAAAGUGUGGGGUAGCAAAC
Molecule: ribosomal RNA, 699 nt
Filed under: uncultured bacterium
Lineage: Bacteria
Description: bacterial SSU rRNA
Rfam family: Bacterial small subunit ribosomal RNA
Source: RNAcentral